AUACGGAGGGUGCGAGCGUUGUUCGGAAUUACUGGGCGUAAAGGGCGCGCAGGCGGCUUGAUAAGUCAGAUGUGAAAACCCACGGCUCAACCGUGGAAGUGCAUCUGAAACUGUCUGGCUUGAGUACUGGAGAGGAAAGUGGAAUUCCUGGUGUAGAGGUGAAAUUCGUAGAUAUCAGGAGGAACACCGGUGGCGAAGGCGACUACCUGGCCAGAUACUGACACUGAGGUGCGAAAGCGUGGGGAGCAAACAGGAUUAGAAACCCGGGUAGUCC
This 274-nucleotide ribosomal RNA is filed under the name uncultured bacterium. RNAcentral's name for it is "partial 16S ribosomal RNA". It matches the Rfam family "Bacterial small subunit ribosomal RNA", at positions 523 to 796 of the family's 1533-position model. The record is from RNAcentral.